Molecule: transfer RNA, 66 nt
Filed under: Scutopus ventrolineatus
Lineage: Eukaryota; Metazoa; Mollusca; Caudofoveata; Limifossorida; Scutopodidae
Description: tRNA-Tyr
Source: RNAcentral
GUUGAAGCGGCCGCAGAGGUAUUAAAUUGUAAAUUUAAUUGAUGAAGAGUAUUUCUUUUUUUAACA